GCCCAGGUGGUGGAAUUGGUAGACACGCAGGUUUCAGGUACCUGUGCCGCAAGGCGUGAAGGUUCGAGUCCUUUCCUGGGCACCA
This 85-nucleotide transfer RNA is filed under the name Chelatococcus asaccharovorans. RNAcentral describes it as "tRNA-Leu". It matches the Rfam family "tRNA". Rfam says of the family: Transfer RNA (tRNA) molecules are approximately 80 nucleotides in length. Their secondary structure includes four short double-helical elements and three loops (D, anti-codon, and T loops). Further hydrogen bonds mediate the characteristic L-shaped molecular structure. tRNAs have two regions of fundamental functional importance: the anti-codon, which is responsible for specific mRNA codon recognition, and the 3' end, to which the tRNAs corresponding amino acid is attached (by aminoacyl-tRNA synthetases). tRNAs cope with the degeneracy of the genetic code in two manners: having more than one tRNA (with a specific anti-codon) for a particular amino acid; and 'wobble' base-pairing, i.e. permitting non-standard base-pairing at the 3rd anti-codon position. RNAcentral also lists the same sequence under 6 other names. The record is from RNAcentral. Lineage: Bacteria; Pseudomonadati; Pseudomonadota; Alphaproteobacteria; Hyphomicrobiales; Chelatococcaceae.